Cyprinus carpio carpio is the source of this 1575-nucleotide long non-coding RNA. The record is from Ensembl. Lineage: Eukaryota; Metazoa; Chordata; Actinopteri; Cypriniformes; Cyprinidae.
AUGAAAUCUGCCUUCCAGGUAAUGAGGGUACCAGCUGAAGACCACGUGGAGUUUGUGAAACAGCAUCUCAAAGAUGAAGCUAAAGCGACUAUAAGGUUCAUGCUGGGUGGCAAAGAAGAUUCUGCAGAAAGCAUCUUUAAAGUGCUUUUGGAGACAUAUGGAGACAAAGUGCCAAUCGGAACCAGACUUAAUGCCUUCUAUGAACGAAAGCAGAUGCAAGGAGAGACGAUACGUUCAUAUGCAUAUGAUUUACAGGAGAGACUGAGCAAAGUUCAGCGCAGAGAGCCAAACCAAAUUCCCGAUGCCGAAAGUGUGUUAAAAGAGCAGCUUGUCCUGGGCCUUCGAGAUGAUUUCCUGAGGCGUGAAAUGAAAAGACGAGUUAAAGAGGACACGGGUUUGACUUUUGUUCAGGUAAUGCAAGCAGCAAUCACCUGGGCUGAAGAAGAAGAGUCACAAACACCAAACAAUCCAAAACCCAGUUCCCCUGUUAGAGUAGUUAAUGCUGAUGCAGAACAAGCUUCCUCUACGUUAACUUUGGAAAAACUGCAUGAAGCCAUACAAAAGAUUGCUGCCCGUCAAGAAGAACUCUAUCAGGCCGUACAUGGUAACAGCAGAGUACGACUUCAACAGAGCCUCCCAAAAAGACAACCCCUGAAGGACAGCGAUGGCCAAUACAUCUGUUAUUCGUGUGGCGAGCCUGGGCACACUAGCAGGCGCUGUCCACAAGGUGCUGAGGCAGCUAUGGUGUCUGAUCAGUCUCGACGUUCUACAGGGAUGGUGGAAACAAACAUAGGAAACGUUCCAACAAACACGACACAAGCCAGCUCUGGGCCAUCUAUGAUAAGAAGUCAUAUAGCUGAAUGGUCCGACGAAGUGACAGAGACAUUGAAAAAUGGUGCAUUUGGAGAUUGUUUGACUAUUGAAGUUAGAAUAGCUGGUGUCAAGACAAACUGCUUGCUGGAUACAGGCUCAGAAGUGUCCACUAUUACAGAAUCACACUUUAGGAAGCACUUCGCAGAGCAAAAGCUGAAAUUGUCAUCUGCUCACUGGGUCAAACUCACUGCAGCUAAUGGGCUCGACAUUCCGGUCCUAGGAUGUUUACAAGCUGACGUGGAGUGCAUGGGGAAGGUUCUCCCAGGGAAGUGCAUCUUUGUGCUGACAGAUACCAGCCCAGAAUCUGAGGAGAUAAGAGGACUUUCUGGUAUCAUUGGAAUGAAUAUUAUCAGUGAGUUUAAAUCGUUGUUCGUCACAGGAGAGAGAGUAAAGACAGCCAACAAAUACAGGAAACCCGCAGAAGCAAAGAUAAGAAGGGUGUUAGCAAGUGUCGAGAAGACUGAACCCCUGAGUCCUGACGGCAAGAUUGGGUUUGUUGUGGAAGUUGGUGGAAAGCAGACCAUCACUAUCGCUCCACUAAGUGAGAAAGUGUUUGAAGGUCGUUGCAGAGUGCCACCUAAAGUGAAGUGCCAAGUAUUAAUUGAGCACACCACUGGUGUGAGUCUACCCAAGGGGCUCUUAGUGGCCAAUGUGCUAACAAAAACUGAAGGUGGUAAAGUUCCUGUACGAGUAAUGAAUUAG